UCAGGGUCGGAAUCGAACGCACGACCUCCUGUAUGCCAGGCGAAGUGGUUAACAUCUCGCCACCGUGGCGCCCCACACUGAGAUAUUCGCGACCGUGCUGCGUAGCUCGCGCUUCCGGGAUGCGCCGCGUCUCGCUCGGUACGUUUCACUCUGGUGUGCGGAGUGAAACGUCUGACAUCGCAUGUAAAUAUUUAGACAAAGAUCCCCGGCGUAGCCUCUGACAGAUGCUUGCGGCAAGUGCUGUCAGCGAGCACCGACGUAAACCCGGCAGACGAGGAGGCUGGAUGGCCAGCGCCACGCCCCGGCCUCCUGUCUCCCCAGUGCUGAUGUUUACACACCGCACCGGGCACUCAUUGAAGGCCCAGUCGACCUAGGGGAGGCGCCAGGAUCUGUUCAGGUAUUCGCCAGUGUUUUUGAUCACGAGCGGGCCAUGCAUACUUCACCACGCUGGUCAGUGCGGAUUGGGGAAUGCAGCGAGUCCAGAGGACCGGCUCGAAGUUGACACUCGCCACCGUCGUUAGCCAUGGCCCGGGAAUCAACACCCGGGGUCACUAACCUGACGGUGCGGUAAUGGCUACCUACUACAUACAUUGCACACGCAAGUAUAAAUGCCACAUUUCCACAUGACACACACGUAUAUAUACGCACCGCGUGUAUAAAAACUGCAAAGCGAUCUACAGUAUUCAUAACACGUUACAGACCAAGAACGCGUACGGGAUUCCUCCGUGCACUCGCUGGAAUGCGGAGGAGCCUUCACCGAGGGAUAAAGCGAUGGAUAUUUACAUAUUUAUUUGGGAGACUCUGCAUUAUUCAUUUCAAUACGAAGCAUGUAAUCGUGCCAUGCCCGAGUGAAGCCUUAUUCAAAAUCGUAUGCAUAAUCAUUUCGUGAAGGUAGGCCCCCCCCCUCGGAAAAAAUAUGAAUACGCGUCCAGAGCGAAUUCCUUUCAUAAUUUCAUUUAUUAACACGUCAAUCUCUCCCCACCCCCCGCGUCCGGCCAGAGGGCCCGGGCCCCCCCACCCCCAUCUCACUUCCGCAGAGGGUCCCGGCGCCGCAUGGCGGCCGAAGGGACGCUCACCCGAAAGCCGCCGUUCCACAAUGGCCGCGGGACGAAUGUUUAACGGCACGGAGGAUUUUUACAUUUACGUACGCACAACGCGGCGGUCGCAAUUAGCCGGGGCUGCGCCGCGUCCACGCGGCGGCGGCGGCGAGCGCCCGUGCACCGAACGACGCCGGCAACGUCGACGAUAAGGGGGGGGGGGGGUGUCCCCCUCCACCCCCUACAAUGGGAAUUUAACCCACGCCGCUCGGAUUUCAGGGAACCGUGCUGACCGCUACGCCAUCGUUGGGCCCUCUUGAGAUUUCACAACCAGAGAAUUGAUUCACGUACGAUCAAUACAUACGUAAAAGGACAUCAUGCACAAAGAUUCCCCAUACAGCCUCUCCAGCCUAUUUGGGCAGGUGCUGUUAGCGAGCACCUAUAAAGACCGACAAACAUACCAGCAACGCGCCCGGCUGCCUUUGUCUCCCCGCAAUUCGGAUGUUUGCACAACCGCACCAGGGAUCCAGUGGAGACCCAGGACUGGCUCAGUAAUAUGCCACCGAUAUUGGCCACGAGCAGGAACUGAACCGGGCUCGCUGGGUAUGUGGUGUAGCACCGUCAACCGCCACGCUACCGCCCACCGCGUAAGCAGGACACGCGAGGGUACGCGUAACGCACACGCGGCACGUAAAAAAACAUACGAGCAAGAUGUACGCGCAUACAGACACACACGCGCGCACGCACGCACUCGACUGGAGGUGAUGAAAGACCCCUUUUGGAGGAGGAAAGAACCGAAGAUGAGAGCCCGGCGCUGGUGUCAAAUGCCAGGCCAGGCAUCGGAGGCAUCCAUACCAACAAAGGGAACGUCAAUUUGACAACGAUCGGCACAAGCAACAUCGGAUGAUCAAAGCCGCCGCGCGAAGAGAAAAACGUACGGAGCGUGGCACCAAUUAAACGCAAGGGCAAUGUAUUAAAUUACGAAAAGGCAGCUUGUGCUGCUUGCAUGAAUGAAUUUGUGGCGGGUAAACUUAGAAGAAGAAGAAUAAAAAAGAGAAGAGCUGUGAAUUAAAUGUAUUUACUCACA
Petromyzon marinus (sea lamprey) is the source of this 2124-nucleotide long non-coding RNA. RefSeq lists it as uncharacterized. Lineage: Eukaryota; Metazoa; Chordata; Hyperoartia; Petromyzontiformes; Petromyzontidae. The record is from RefSeq and is a predicted model, not a curated record.